GAUGAACGCUGGCGGCGUGCUUAAUACAUGCAGUCCAGCCGACAGACGCCGAGUUUGCUCCUCUGCUGUUAGCGGCGGACGGGUGAGUACAACGUGGUUACCUUCCCUUUACGUCUGGGAAAAUUUCGGGAACUCGGACUUAUUACCGGUAAAUAUAUCGACUCGCAUGGUUCGAUAGUGAAAGUCGGUCUUGCUGUCAGGUACUGAGGGCUUCGCGGCGUAUUAGUUUGUUGGUGGGUUACCGGCUUACUGAGGCUACGAUGGGUAGCGGGCCUGAGGGGGUGACCGGCGAGAUUGGGACUUAGAUAAGGCCCAGAAUGAUAAGGGAGGCAGCAGUGGGGAAUAUUGCACAAGGGGCGGCAGGCUGAUGAAGAAACGCCGCGUGUGGGAUAACGCCCUUUGGGUUGUAAAACGCUUUUGUCUGUGACGAAGCGCGAGUGACGGUAAUGGGUAAAGAAGAACCGGCUAACUACGUG
This 476-nucleotide ribosomal RNA is filed under the name uncultured bacterium. RNAcentral describes it as "partial 16S ribosomal RNA". It matches the Rfam family "Bacterial small subunit ribosomal RNA", at positions 28 to 507 of the family's 1533-position model. The record is from RNAcentral.